GGGGAAAUAGUUCAACUGGUAGAACAUUGGACUUGCAUGCCUGAGGUUCCUGGUUUGAUCCCUGGUGCACCCU
RNAcentral lists this transfer RNA (73 nucleotides) under Erinaceus europaeus (western European hedgehog). It matches the Rfam family "tRNA". From Rfam's summary of the family: Transfer RNA (tRNA) molecules are approximately 80 nucleotides in length. Their secondary structure includes four short double-helical elements and three loops (D, anti-codon, and T loops). The record is from Rfam by way of RNAcentral. Lineage: Eukaryota; Metazoa; Chordata; Mammalia; Eulipotyphla; Erinaceidae.